This 1424-nucleotide ribosomal RNA is filed under the name Staphylococcus saprophyticus. RNAcentral's name for it is "bacterial SSU rRNA". It matches the Rfam family "Bacterial small subunit ribosomal RNA". The record is from RNAcentral. Lineage: Bacteria; Bacillati; Bacillota; Bacilli; Caryophanales; Staphylococcaceae.
GCUAUACAUGCAAGUCGAGCGAACAGAUAAGGAGCUUGCUCCUUUGACGUUAGCGGCGGACGGGUGAGUAACACGUGGGUAACCUACCUAUAAGACUGGGAUAACUUCGGGAAACCGGAGCUAAUACCGGAUAACAUUUGGAACCGCAUGGUUCUAAAGUGAAAGAUGGUUUUGCUAUCACUUAUAGAUGGACCCGCGCCGUAUUAGCUAGUUGGUAAGGUAACGGCUUACCAAGGCGACGAUACGUAGCCGACCUGAGAGGGUGAUCGGCCACACUGGAACUGAGACACGGUCCAGACUCCUACGGGAGGCAGCAGUAGGGAAUCUUCCGCAAUGGGCGAAAGCCUGACGGAGCAACGCCGCGUGAGUGAUGAAGGGUUUCGGCUCGUAAAACUCUGUUAUUAGGGAAGAACAAAUGUGUAAGUAACUGUGCACGUCUUGACGGUACCUAAUCAGAAAGCCACGGCUAACUACGUGCCAGCAGCCGCGGUAAUACGUAGGUGGCAAGCGUUAUCCGGAAUUAUUGGGCGUAAAGCGCGCGUAGGCGGUUUCUUAAGUCUGAUGUGAAAGCCCACGGCUCAACCGUGGAGGGUCAUUGGAAACUGGGAAACUUGAGUGCAGAAGAGGAAAGUGGAAUUCCAUGUGUAGCGGUGAAAUGCGCAGAGAUAUGGAGGAACACCAGUGGCGAAGGCGACUUUCUGGUCUGUAACUGACGCUGAUGUGCGAAAGCGUGGGGAUCAAACAGGAUUAGAUACCCUGGUAGUCCACGCCGUAAACGAUGAGUGCUAAGUGUUAGGGGGUUUCCGCCCCUUAGUGCUGCAGCUAACGCAUUAAGCACUCCGCCUGGGGAGUACGACCGCAAGGUUGAAACUCAAAGGAAUUGACGGGGACCCGCACAAGCGGUGGAGCAUGUGGUUUAAUUCGAAGCAACGCGAAGAACCUUACCAAAUCUUGACAUCCUUUGAAAACUCUAGAGAUAGAGCCUUCCCCUUCGGGGGACAAAGUGACAGGUGGUGCAUGGUUGUCGUCAGCUCGUGUCGUGAGAUGUUGGGUUAAGUCCCGCAACGAGCGCAACCCUUAAGCUUAGUUGCCAUCAUUAAGUUGGGCACUCUAGGUUGACUGCCGGUGACAAACCGGAGGAAGGUGGGGAUGACGUCAAAUCAUCAUGCCCCUUAUGAUUUGGGCUACACACGUGCUACAAUGGACAAUACAAAGGGCAGCUAAACCGCGAGGUCAUGCAAAUCCCAUAAAGUUGUUCUCAGUUCGGAUUGUAGUCUGCAACUCGACUACAUGAAGCUGGAAUCGCUAGUAAUCGUAGAUCAGCAUGCUACGGUGAAUACGUUCCCGGGUCUUGUACACACCGCCCGUCACACCACGAGAGUUUGUAACACCCGAAGCCGGUGGAGUAACCAUUUAUGGAGCUA